AGUGAACGCUGGCGGUAGGCCUAACACAUGCAAGUCGAACGGCAGCACAGUAAGAGCUUGCUCUUACGGGUGGCGAGUGGCGGACGGGUGAGGAAUACAUCGGAAUCUACUUUUUCGUGGGGGAUAACGUAGGGAAACUUACGCUAAUACCGCAUACGACCUACGGGUGAAAGCAGGGGAUCUUCGGACCUUGCGCGAUUGAAUGAGCCGAUGUCGGAUUAGCUAGUUGGCGGGGUAAAGGCCCACCAAGGCGACGAUCCGUAGCUGGUCUGAGAGGAUGAUCAGCCACACUGGAACUGAGACACGGUCCAGACUCCUAAGGGAGGCAGCAGUGGGGAAUAUUGGACAAUGGGCGCAAGCCUGAUCCAGCCAUACCGCGUGGGUGAAGAAGGCCUUCGGGUUGUAAAGCCCUUUUGUUGGGAAAGAAAAGCAGCAGGUUAAUACCCAGCUGUUCUGACGGUACCAAAAGAAUAAGCACCGGCUAACUUCGUG
RNAcentral lists this ribosomal RNA (492 nucleotides) under uncultured bacterium. RNAcentral describes it as "partial 16S ribosomal RNA". It matches the Rfam family "Bacterial small subunit ribosomal RNA", at positions 29 to 507 of the family's 1533-position model. The record is from RNAcentral.